This 353-nucleotide unclassified non-coding RNA is filed under the name soil metagenome. Its description in RNAcentral is "partial contains 5.8S ribosomal RNA, internal transcribed spacer 2, and large subunit ribosomal RNA". The stretch from base 1 to 120 matches the Rfam family "5.8S ribosomal RNA", at positions 35 to 154 of the family's 154-position model. The record is from RNAcentral.
GAUGAAGAACGCAGCGAAAUGCGAUAAGUAAUGUGAAUUGCAGAAUUCAGUGAAUCAUCGAAUCUUUGAACGCACAUUGCGCCCGCGAGUAUUCUCGCGGGCAUGCCUGUCCGAGCGUCAUUUCAACCCUCAGGCCCCCGGGCCUGGCGUUGGGGAUCGGCGGAAGCCCCCUGCGGGCACAACGCCGUCCCCCAAAUACAGUGGCGGUCCCGCCGCAGCUUCCAUUGCGUAGUAGCUAACACCUCGCAACUGGAGAGCGGCGCGGCCACGCCGUAAAACACCCAACUUCUGAAUGUUGACCUCGAAUCAGGUAGGAAUACCCGCUGAACUUAAGCAUAUCAAUAAGCGGAGGA